CAGUAGCCGCGGGAAUACGUAGGUGGCAAGCGUUGUCCGGAAUUAUUGGGCGUAAAGCGCGCGCAGGUGGUUUAAUAAGUCUGAUGUGAAAGCCCACGGCUCAACCGUGGAGGGUCAUUGGAAACUGUUAAACUCGAGUGCAGGAGAGAAAAGUGGAAUUCCUAGCGUAGCGGUGAAAUGCGUAGAGAUUAGGAGGAACACCAGUGGCGAAGGCGGCUUUUUGGCCUGUAACUGACACUGAGGCGCGAAAGCGUGGGGAGCAAACAGGAUUAGAUACCCCUGUAGUCCCUGUCUCUUAUAC
This 301-nucleotide ribosomal RNA is filed under the name uncultured bacterium. Its description in RNAcentral is "partial 16S ribosomal RNA". It matches the Rfam family "Bacterial small subunit ribosomal RNA", at positions 509 to 807 of the family's 1533-position model. The record is from RNAcentral.